RNAcentral lists this ribosomal RNA (468 nucleotides) under uncultured bacterium. RNAcentral's name for it is "partial 16S ribosomal RNA". It matches the Rfam family "Bacterial small subunit ribosomal RNA", at positions 28 to 507 of the family's 1533-position model. The record is from RNAcentral.
GACGAACGCUGGCGGCGUGCUUAACACAUGCAAGUCGAACGGAAAGGCCCUGCUUUUGUGGGGUGCUCGAGUGGCGAACGGGUGAGUAACACGUGAGUAACCUGCCCUUGACUUUGGGAUAACUUCAGGAAACUGGGGCUAAUACCGGAUAGGAGCUCCUGCUGCCUGGUUGGGGUUGGUAAGUUUCGGCGGUUGGGGAUGGACUCGUGGCUUAUCAGCUGGUUGGUGGGGUAGUGGCUUACCAAGGCUUUGACGGGUAGCCGGCCUGAGAGGGUGACUGGCCACAUUGGGACUGAGAUACGGCACGGACUCGUACGGGAGGCAGGAGUGUGGAAUCUUGCACGAUGGGCGGACGCCUGAUGCAGCAACGCCGCGUGCGGGAUGAAGGCCUUCGUGUUGUAAACAGCUUGCGCCUGUGACGAAGCGUAAGUGACGGUAAUGGGUAAAGAAGCAACGGCUAACUACGUG